Molecule: RNA transcript, 2185 nt
Organism: Oreochromis niloticus (Nile tilapia)
Lineage: Eukaryota; Metazoa; Chordata; Actinopteri; Cichliformes; Cichlidae
Gene: baalcb
Gene name: BAALC binder of MAP3K1 and KLF4 b
Exons: 5
Source: RefSeq, a predicted model, not a curated record
UCUGCUUGAAUUCAAGUACACCCCCUCAUCCUCAGGACAAGAGGAUGGACGCUUUAACAUACACCGCUCCGCCACAGAUCCGCCGUUCAGUGUGUUUACAGGAGGAUGAAUGAAGAGGCUGGUGGUGCAGCAGCGUGCGGACGCGCAGCGUGUUACCGGUUGUGCUCGUGUCGUUAGUGUUAUCAUUAUUAACAGUGUGUUACUGGUUUGACUGGCAGACGACACACUGGAAAAGCACCGAGGCGAGACAAAAACCCGACUUUCCAGCAUCCAUUUGAACACGGUCUCCCUGGUCUACUUUAUAAUCAGAAGAUGCUGCUUAAACAAACCUAAACAUAGCUGAGUUAACACAGGGUGGGACCACAUAAUCUGCUCUCUGAAGGAUAGAAGUUGAUGAAUACUAACUGUAUGAGGGCCCUCAGCUUCUCCCACAGCUGUGUGCUGUGCUUGUGAAUCUUUUUGAGCUGGGAAGUGAAGAGCCAUGGGCUGUGGGGGCAGCAGAACUGACGCUUUGGAGCCUCGCUACCUGGAGAGCUGGACAAAAGAGACUGAGUCGACAUGGCUGACGAGCACAGACACAGAUAUCCCCUUGUCAUCCAUCCAGAGCAUCCCCUCUGAGAACUCAGAGGCUGGCUUCACUUCUGAGAAAACAAUCAGCCCUGCGGAGUGGACCAUCUCUUCAUGUCAAGGGCUGUGCUGAUGGCAUGCCUGAUUUCAACAAGAAUCCAUUAUGCAGAAGAAAGAAAACAGAAACAUGAGUGACAGAGGAAGUAUCCACUUUAGAGACCUUUGUUCUUCUAGUGUGCAGUUAGUUGUAUGUGUCUCUACAUACAGGUCAGGACAUCAGAAACAGAUAAAUCUCUUAGAUGGAUCCUCUUCUUUUCUUUGAAGCCAAGGCGAGAUGAGUCAGUAAAUGGGGAUGUUAGGCUGCUUCAAAAGCCACUGUGCUCAAACAGGGCUCAGCUCUCAUGGCAACAGAUACAGGCAUGAGUGAAUGCAGGGAGAGGAGCCUUGAUGUAAUUGUGAAGGCAAAUUGACUUGAUCUUCAAUCAUUACACACAUGAUCACACAUUAACGAGGAGAUGAGGUGUACACACAUCUGUAAAAUGCAAACAUCGACUACCUGCGAAUAACUGAUCACAGCUCACGCCUCCACAGUACCAUCAAGUUGGUUCAGUGUAACACAACUAAGUUGUCAAUAUGUAAUCGCUACUGUUUCAUUUACCAAUGACUCCUAAUAGAAGCUAAUUGUGGCAUAGCGGUUAUCUUAUCAAGCUGAAAUUGAUAAACUUCAAGAGAAAAAAAAGAAAAUUCAUAGAAAUGUAUAAAAGCUACAAACACAUAAGUAAAGACAGCUGUCUUAGUCGCACCAGCAGACACAGCUGAACGUCUACAUCUUUACAGUUCCAGAUUUCUUUGAAGACGGCCUCCCGCCACCGGCUCAGGCCUACCUAAAGGUCUGCUCGGCCAUGUCUGAAGCCAGCCUGAACGAUGUGAAGCCCAGCAGCACACCAACAGCACUGGGCUCUCCGCAGCAGGACACGACGAUGCCUUCUUCUGGAACCACAGUGCAGCGCAGAAGUGUUCUGCACACUGAAGAGAUCACAAAAUGGCAGGACAAUCGGAUGUCGACCAAGCAGGUGACCAUUACAGUCACCCAGAGCAUCCACCAGGUGGACAAGAACGGGAAGGUGAAGAAGUCCCUCACGACAUAUGAGGUCAUGAAACCAGUGGAAGCUAUCAAACAGGUGGCAACACAAAACACCUGAGUGGAGGGGACAUUGGAAAAAGCCAAAAAAUGACAAUAAUCAUGACUGUGAAAGAAAUCGAACAGGUUUUGUGGUCUGACAAGUGUCGAAAGCACAAAAAUUAGAUUUCUAGUGUAUUUAAUACUGUACGAUGUAUGUUUCACUGACAUGUUGGAGACUUUUACAAGAGACAUUUGAUCAAACAAGCAUGGGUUAACAGGCAAAACAAAACGUGGUAUGUUACAGCGAAUGUCAUAUUAAAAGCGAUUGUAGUCUAUUACAGCUGACAGCUUGUUUCCACAUCAGUGUAAAGAAAUCAUUGCUUAGCACUGAACUCGAAAAUAGUUUAAUCCAGAGUAUUUUCACAUUUUAAGAUGUAUUUAAACAUGAACAUAGGUGUAAAACAAUUACUGCAGUAUUAUUUAAUAUGAUAUAAA